Molecule: long non-coding RNA, 1203 nt
Organism: Argentina anserina (silverweed cinquefoil)
Lineage: Eukaryota; Viridiplantae; Streptophyta; Magnoliopsida; Rosales; Rosaceae
Exons: 5
Source: RefSeq, a predicted model, not a curated record
GGAAAAUCAUCCUCCAGUUUCCUCACAUAUUCGCCGCUACUUCCCUCCCUCCCUCCCUCUCUGUCUCUCCCUCUCUCCCUCAACCACCGCGACGAGCUCCUCUUCUUCUCCCCGACGCCUCCCUCGGCAUCACCUACGAUGGCUCAUCUUCUACUCCCUAAUUCCUCCUAUCUCUUUUUCCCCAAUUCCCCAAACCCUAAUUUGUGAAGGUGAGGCCAUGGUCGAAGAUUGGUUUGGAUAUGAAACCUUAAUCGUCGAAGGCGCGGCGUCUAUGAGUGAGGUGAUGGAUGUAGUUUUUCGAGGUUUGAAACCCUAAUCAGCGAAGCUAAAGAGGUGAGGGAAAAGGGUCAAAGCUAACAGAAGGAGUAGCUUGUGUGUUUUGAGGUAGGUAAUUUCAACUCAUCUUUGUAUAUCUUUCAUAUCAACCCAAAGGUUGUUGUAGUUUAGAGCAAAUGAGAAAUGUUCCUAGCGACAUCAUGGAGCUCAAGUUGCCUAGGACCUUACAAAUGGUAAUUUAAAGCCUUUUUGCUUAGUUCUAAACUUGAUCCUUUAUCCAAUUUGUUUGAAUUUGAAUUUAACUCAAUGUCCUCUUCAAUUACCUUUUUGACAAGUUCCUCUAUUGACUAUUUGGCAUUGGUAUUGAUGACUACAUUGCUUGAACUGAUGUCUAUAAGGGUAUUUUACAGAAAUUGGCUUUCUCAUUCGACCGAGUGUACUAAAAAGCCAAACAUGGAAUAGACAAGUUGGUUUUCUCAAGUUGUUAUUUUAGUUAACUGAAGCUUGGAGAAGUCACUCCAAAACUAGGGUGCAUGGAUACUUGCUUUGGCUGAAGAGAUUAAGGCAAGAUGUGAGAAGGCUGCUUUCAAAGUUAUGACCCUAUAAGGCAGAUUCUAAAAGAUUUUACGGAAGAUGAAGAAUAUAUUGACUUGAUGGGAGAGGUUGAAGUUGGGAUUUACAAGCUAUGAGAUGGUCAUACAGAGGCUAAGCAAAGAGCAUAUGAAGAAAGUGAAAGACUGGAUACAAGAGCAUGCACAGAUCUUUGAUAUUAUUAGCAAUUAUGGUGAACAAAUAUAUGCAUGUUGCUACUCUUUCUAUUGUAAAGCUUGUAGGUUUAGGUAUAUAUCGAAUGGUAGGAUAUUGUGUUCUAGUUUGCUAUACUAUAUGAAUCGAUUGUACUUGAAUCAAUUGUACUUUUUGGUUAUA